AUUGAACGCUGGCGGCAUGCCUUACACAUGCAAGUCGAGCGCGAAAGGGGGCAACCCCGAGUAGAGCGGCGGACGGGUGAGUAACGCAUCGGAACGUGCCCAGUAGUGGGGGACAACCUCGAGAAAUCGAGGCUAAUACCGCAUACGACCCACGGGUGAAAGCGGGGGACCGCAAGGCCUCGCGCUAUUGGAGCGGCCGAUGUCCGAUUAGCUAGUUGGCGGGGUAAGAGCCCACCAAGGCGACGAUCGGUAGCUGGUCUGAGAGGACGACCAGCCACACUGGGACUGAGACACGGCCCAGACUCCUACGGGAGGCAGCAGUGGGGAAUUUUGGAC
RNAcentral lists this ribosomal RNA (336 nucleotides) under uncultured bacterium. Its description in RNAcentral is "bacterial SSU rRNA". It matches the Rfam family "Bacterial small subunit ribosomal RNA", at positions 29 to 369 of the family's 1533-position model. The record is from RNAcentral.